RNAcentral lists this transfer RNA (71 nucleotides) under Grallaria squamigera (undulated antpitta). RNAcentral describes it as "tRNA-Ala". Lineage: Eukaryota; Metazoa; Chordata; Aves; Passeriformes; Formicariidae. The record is from RNAcentral.
UAAGAUCCGCAGGACAUUAACCUGCAUCUCAUAAAUGCAACUCAAACGCUUUAAUUAAGCUAGGACCUUUC